GCUGCACUGUGAACACCUCAAAUGAAGUUUCACAGCAGGAUAAGCCAGGGCAUAUGAUUCAGAUCCUCAUGCCACAGGGCUCUGUAGCCACCAAACUGAUUACCUACUGGGGAAAAAAAAAAGCCCACUGAUGUAUAAUGAUAAUCCUGCAACAGACGAAAGAAACUUCAGGGUCAUCUUUCUGAGAUCGUUGCUCAGGGGUCAGGCCCCAGGUGUUAAGAAGAGCAGGCAUUACAAGGUUUAUUGAGAAGAAUAUGACAGGGAUGCAUUACCAGGUGCAGCAUGAUGAGAUGGAAGACAGGACUGCACCUGGCUCUGAGGUCAGCCUCAGCAUGAAGGAGGCAAUAUGUUUGACUCUGUGGUUGGGGUGGAGAACUUUGGGUCACUUCUCUCUGGAGUGAAGAGACGACAGCUAAUCAGCUUCCAGUCUAAGGCAGCAGCCUUCCUUUCCCAGGUCUGAAGUGAGAUCCAGGACUACACAUUUUCAGCGAACUCCCUGUGUGAUACUAUGGAGGAUGCAGCAACAAGGCACCAUCUUAGGAGCAGAGAGCAGACCCUCACCAGACACCGAACCUGCCAACACCUUGAUCUUGGACUUCACAGACUCCAGAACUGAGGAGGCAUUUUGUUCUGGGGCACUUCAUCUGAAAAGAUGUUAAAAAACUAGAGAUAGCCAGGUAUUUACACAGGAAAAACAAAUCCUUAAUAUACAGUAUAUAUAAUAAAAUACUCACAGAACAUUACUUCCCUGCAAGAGCUACUAUUGCAGCCUGGAUUCCUGUGAAUGUGCUUCACCAGUUCUCUUUACACUCAGCAAGACCCUGAUCACAUGCUGAUCACA
Gorilla gorilla gorilla (western lowland gorilla) is the source of this 841-nucleotide long non-coding RNA. RefSeq lists it as uncharacterized. The transcript has 4 exons. The record is from RefSeq and is a predicted model, not a curated record. NCBI's taxonomy places the organism in Eukaryota, Metazoa, Chordata, Mammalia, Primates, Hominidae.